RNAcentral lists this ribosomal RNA (426 nucleotides) under uncultured bacterium. RNAcentral describes it as "bacterial SSU rRNA". It matches the Rfam family "Bacterial small subunit ribosomal RNA", at positions 354 to 796 of the family's 1533-position model. The record is from RNAcentral.
GUGGGGAAUCUUGCGCAAUGGGCGAAAGCCUGACGCAGCAACGCCGCGUGCGGGAUGAAGGCUCUCGGGUUGUAAACCGCUUUCAGCAGGAACGAAAAUGACGGUACUUGCAGAAGAAGGUGCGGCCAACUAUGUGCCAGCAGCCGCGGUGAUACAUAGGCACCAAGCGUUGUCCGGAUUUAUUGGGCGUAAAGAGCUCGUAGGCGGUUCGGUAAGUCGGGUGUGAAAACUUUGGGCUCAACCCAAAGCCUGCAUCCGAUACUGCUGUGACUAGAGUUCGGUAGGGGAGCGGGGAAUUCCUAGUGUAGCGGUGAAAUGCGCAGAUAUUAGGAGGAACACCGGUGGCGAAGGCGCCGCUCUGGGCCGAUACUGACGCUGAGGAGCGAAAGCGUGGGUAGCAAACAGGAUUAGAAACCCGAGUAGUCC